Molecule: transfer RNA, 87 nt
Filed under: Helianthus annuus (common sunflower)
Lineage: Eukaryota; Viridiplantae; Streptophyta; Magnoliopsida; Asterales; Asteraceae
Description: tRNA HanXRQr2_Chr16g0765661
Rfam family: tRNA
About the family: Transfer RNA (tRNA) molecules are approximately 80 nucleotides in length. Their secondary structure includes four short double-helical elements and three loops (D, anti-codon, and T loops). Further hydrogen bonds mediate the characteristic L-shaped molecular structure. tRNAs have two regions of fundamental functional importance: the anti-codon, which is responsible for specific mRNA codon recognition, and the 3' end, to which the tRNAs corresponding amino acid is attached (by aminoacyl-tRNA synthetases). tRNAs cope with the degeneracy of the genetic code in two manners: having more than one tRNA (with a specific anti-codon) for a particular amino acid; and 'wobble' base-pairing, i.e. permitting non-standard base-pairing at the 3rd anti-codon position.
Source: RNAcentral
UGUCAGGAUGGCCGAGUGGUCUAAGGCGCCAGACUCAAGUUCUGGUCUUCGAGAGAGGGCGUGGGUUCAAAUCCCACUUCUGACAGA